Molecule: transfer RNA, 75 nt
Filed under: Vibrio cholerae
Lineage: Bacteria; Pseudomonadati; Pseudomonadota; Gammaproteobacteria; Vibrionales; Vibrionaceae
Description: tRNA-Gly(gcc)
Rfam family: tRNA
About the family: Transfer RNA (tRNA) molecules are approximately 80 nucleotides in length. Their secondary structure includes four short double-helical elements and three loops (D, anti-codon, and T loops). Further hydrogen bonds mediate the characteristic L-shaped molecular structure. tRNAs have two regions of fundamental functional importance: the anti-codon, which is responsible for specific mRNA codon recognition, and the 3' end, to which the tRNAs corresponding amino acid is attached (by aminoacyl-tRNA synthetases). tRNAs cope with the degeneracy of the genetic code in two manners: having more than one tRNA (with a specific anti-codon) for a particular amino acid; and 'wobble' base-pairing, i.e. permitting non-standard base-pairing at the 3rd anti-codon position.
Source: RNAcentral
UGCGACACUAGCUCAGUUGGUAGAGCGCAACCUUGCCAAGGUUGAGGUCACGAGUUCGAACCUCGUGUGUCGCNN